GACGAACGCUGGCGGCGUGCUUAACACAUGCAAGUCGAACGGUAAGGCCCUUCGGGGUACACGAGUGGCGAACGGGUGAGUAACACGCGGGUGAUCUGCCCUGCACUUCGGGAUAAGCCUGGGAAACUGGGUCUAAUACCGGAUAGGACUCCGGACUGCAUGGUCUGGGGUGGAAAGCCUUUGGGGGGUGGGAUGGGCCCGGGGCCUAUCAGCUUGUUGGUGGGGUGAUGGCCUACCAAGGCGACGACGGGUAGCCGGCCUGAGAGGGUGACCGGCCACACUGGGACUGAGAUACGGCCCAGACUCCUACGGGAGGCAGCAGUGGGGAAUAUUGCACAAUGGGCGCAAGCCUGAUGCAGCGACGCCGCGUGAGGGAUGACGGCCUUCGGGUUGUAAACCUCUUUCAGCAUCGACGAAGCGAAAGUGACGGUAGGUGCAGAAGAAGGACCGGCCAACUACGUGCCAGCCGCCGCCGUAA
Molecule: ribosomal RNA, 478 nt
Filed under: uncultured bacterium
Lineage: Bacteria
Description: partial 16S ribosomal RNA
Rfam family: Bacterial small subunit ribosomal RNA
Source: RNAcentral